GGAGAAAUGCCCGAGUGGCCGAUGGGGCUAGUUUGCUAAACUAGUGUGCCUUCAAAAGCACCGUAGGUUCGAAUCCUGCUUUUUCC
This 86-nucleotide transfer RNA is filed under the name Chromochloris zofingiensis. Its description in RNAcentral is "tRNA-Ser". It matches the Rfam family "tRNA". From Rfam's summary of the family: Transfer RNA (tRNA) molecules are approximately 80 nucleotides in length. Their secondary structure includes four short double-helical elements and three loops (D, anti-codon, and T loops). Further hydrogen bonds mediate the characteristic L-shaped molecular structure. tRNAs have two regions of fundamental functional importance: the anti-codon, which is responsible for specific mRNA codon recognition, and the 3' end, to which the tRNAs corresponding amino acid is attached (by aminoacyl-tRNA synthetases). tRNAs cope with the degeneracy of the genetic code in two manners: having more than one tRNA (with a specific anti-codon) for a particular amino acid; and 'wobble' base-pairing, i.e. permitting non-standard base-pairing at the 3rd anti-codon position. Lineage: Eukaryota; Viridiplantae; Chlorophyta; Chlorophyceae; Sphaeropleales; Chromochloridaceae. The record is from RNAcentral.